ACUGACAGCCAUGGUUACCGCGGCUGCUGGCACGGAGUUAGCCGGUGCUUCUUCUGUGAGUGAUGUCCUUCCUGCCGGCUAUUAACCCGCAGGCCUUCUUCCUCACUGAAAGUGCUUUACAACCCGAAGGCCUUCUUCACACACGCGGCAUGGCUGGAUCAGGGUUGCCCCCAUUGUCCAAUAUUCCCCACUGCUGCCUCCCGUAGGAGUCUGGGCCGUGUCUCAGUCCCCAGUGUGGCUGAUCAUCCUCUCAGACCAGCUACGGAUCGUCGCCUUGGUGAGCCGUUACCUCACCAACCAGCUAAUCCGACAUAGGCUCAUCCGAUAGCGCGAGGCCCGAAGGUCCCCCGCUUUCCCCCGUAGGGCGUAUGCGGUAUUAGCCUGGGUUUCCCCAGGUUAUCCCCCACUACCGGGCAGAUUCCUAUGCAUUACUCACCCGUCCGCCGCUCGCCACCAGGGAGCAAGCUCCCCGGUGCCUGCCGCUCGACUUGCAUGUGUUGGCCUGCCGCCAGCGUUCAA
Molecule: ribosomal RNA, 519 nt
Filed under: uncultured bacterium
Lineage: Bacteria
Description: partial 16S ribosomal RNA
Source: RNAcentral